AAAUUGAAGAGUUUGAUCAUGGCUCAGAUUGAACGCUGGCGGCAGGCCUAACACAUGCAAGUCGAACGGUAACAGGAAGCAGCUUGCUGCUUCGCUGACGAGUGGCGGACGGGUGAGUAAUGUCUGGGAAACUGCCUGAUGGAGGGGGAUAACUACUGGAAACGGUGGCUAAUACCGCAUAACGUCGCAAGACCAAAGAGGGGGACCUUCGGGCCUCUUGCCAUCAGAUGUGCCCAGAUGGGAUUAGCUUGUUGGUGAGGUAACGGCUCACCAAGGCGACGAUCCCUAGCUGGUCUGAGAGGAUGACCAGCCACACUGGAACUGAGACACGGUCCAGACUCCUACGGGAGGCAGCAGUGGGGAAUAUUGCACAAUGGGCGCAAGCCUGAUGCAGCCAUGCCGCGUGUAUGAAGAAGGCCUUCGGGUUGUAAAGUACUUUCAGCGGGGAGGAAGGUGUUGUGGUUAAUAACCACAGCAAUUGACGUUACCCGCA
Molecule: ribosomal RNA, 493 nt
Filed under: Salmonella enterica subsp. enterica serovar Bovismorbificans
Lineage: Bacteria; Pseudomonadati; Pseudomonadota; Gammaproteobacteria; Enterobacterales; Enterobacteriaceae
Description: bacterial SSU rRNA
Rfam family: Bacterial small subunit ribosomal RNA
Source: RNAcentral